ACCCCGCCGCGCCGCCUGGCUGACACGUCACGCUCUGCUUGCUUUGUCAACCCUCCCGUUUAAUUCCAUUCCAUUCCAUGAUUCCAUCACCUAUUCACCUGCACCCUGCAUGCAUGCACUAGUCGUUGGGUAACUUUUUCCUGUUCGCUAAUAAACCAUGACUACUGUUCGCUAAUUUGGAGAAAACCAUCGUUGAAUGUGAGACAGAUUUGACAGAUAAUCUGAAGCUAAAAACACUGCUGAUGAUCUGUCACAUGCAUGCAGGUCGGCGAUGGUGACUCGGACCACGACUGCUGGAUGCGGCCGGAGGACAUGACGACGAGCCGUCAGGCCUACCGCCUUGACCCCCAGAACCCCGGCUCCGAACUCGCCGGGGAGACCGCGGCAGCAAUGGCGGCGGCGUCGCUCGUGUUCCGCAGCUCCAACCCCGGCUACGGCAACACUCUACUCCAGCACUCCAAGCAGGUACGUAUGGCGGAGACCAGGAUCGACAUGCAUUGUACUUUGAUGUCAUAUUCUCCAACAAGAUUAUUGACGAACACGAUGGAAACAUAUAUGUAUAUAUGUUAUAUGUAGCUGUUCGAUUUCGCGGACAAGUACCGGGGGCGGUACGACAGCAGCAUCACGGUGGCGCGCAAGUACUACGCCUCGUCGAGCGGGUACGGCGACGAGCUGCUGUGGGCGGCGGCCUGGCUGCACGAGGCGACCGGCGAGUCGCGCUACCUGGACUACCUGGCCACCAACGCCGACGCGCUGGGCGGGACCGGCUGGUCCAUCAACCAGUUCGGCUGGGACGUCAAGUACCCCGGCGUGCAGGUCCUGGCCGCCAUGUUCCUCCUGCGGCGUGGCGGCAACGCCGGAGCGCACGCCGACGUGCUGCGGCGGUACAAGCAGAAGGCGGACCUGUUCGCGUGCUCCUGCCUCGGCAGGGGCGGCGCCAACAGCGUGCGGCGGACGCCCGGCGGGAUGGUCUACCACCAGAGCUGGAACAACGUGCAGUUCGUGACCAGCGCCGCGUUCCUCCUCGCCGCCUACGCCGACCACCUCGCCGCGGCGGGGCAGGCCGCGCAGUGCCCGUCGGCCGGCGGGUCGUCCGCGCAGCCGUCGGAGCUCCUGGCCUUCGCUAGGUCCCAGGUGGACUACAUCCUGGGCAGCAACCCGAGGGCGACGAGCUACAUGGUCGGGUACGGCGCCACGUACCCGCGGCAGGCGCACCACCGCGGCGCCUCCAUCGUCUCCGUCAAGGCCAACCCCUCGUUCGUCAGCUGCCAGGCCGGGUACAGCAGCUGGUACCACCGCCGGAGCGCCAACCCCAACCUGCUCGACGGCGCCACCGUCGGCGGGCCCGACGAGUACGACAACUUCGCCGACGAGAGGGAUAACUACGAGCAGACGGAGGCCACCACCUACAACAACGCCCCGCUCAUGGGCGUGCUCGCUCGGUUGGCCGCCGGUCACGGCGGCGGCCGGUUUGGUCACCACUCUGUCGCCGCCGAUUUGCCUGCAGAAGCUUCUUCCUCCACGGCCAUUAAUCGGACCUCACUGCCAUCUCCUACUCCGGGUAAUCACUCAAAAUUUUCUACUUCUUGAUGCAGUAACUGCAUGAACAUACAUGUCAUCUGAUUAUACAUCGCUGUUCUCAAGAUUCUCUUGACGCGAUGACUGAUCCGAGCUUCGUUAUGUGCAUGCUGCAGCAGCUCCUGAGCACGCGUCGCCCAUUGAGAUCGAGCAGAACGCGACGGCGUCGUGGACGGAGCGGGGCAAGACGUACCACCGGUACGCGGUGACGGUGACCAACAGGUCGCUCAUCAAGACCGUCCACGAGCUCCACAUCGGCAUCUCCAAGCUCUACGGCCAGGUGUGGGGCGUCGACAAGGCGCGGUACGGCUACGUGCUCCCGAGCGGGCUGCCGUCGCUGCCCGCCGGCAAGAGCGCCUCGUUCGUGUACGUCCAGGCCGCGCCGCCGGCCGACGUCUGGGUCACCGGCUACAAGCUCCUCUGAUACGGCACCCGAAGUAGCGAGUGGCCCUUUGUGUGUGUGUUUAUUAUGUGGAAGGAGUGAAAUGGAGGUUUACAAAAAAAGGGGGCAACGAGUGAUGGGGCUAGUAACGAUCUCGGUCAUCCUCAUUGUCCAUUAAUAUAGAAGUUAAGCAUUCAGCAGCUAUAGUGUGUUGCUUGUUUAGUUGUGUGGUGAUUGGAAUUGGAAUAGUAAGAUGAAUUGUAUGCUACAAUACAACAUAAUGGAAUUUGAGUUCUAAAAAAACUGGACCGUCUUGUUCAUUUAGCUCAUAAGCCAUGACAGAAAAUAUUGAUGACUGAUUUGUUAUGAGAGAAAAUCAUUGUUGGAUGGCUGAUAAAUUCGGCUGAUAAGCUCAAGCGAAUAGGCUAACCCAAGAAGUUUUUUUCAGUGGCUAAGUUUGUACUAUUUGCAUACUGGUGGGAAUUUUGUUCACUUGAAGUCACAGUCACUGAUUGGUUUACCAAGAUUUCUAUUCUCGAUCAGCGCUUUCCAAAAUUGCCACUCUCUAUCAGCACGACUCGCUUUCCAAAUCCAACGGUUCAUCGAGUUUGAAAGGAUAUCUUCGUCGAUGGCCUGAUGCUCCAAGUUUGCGCAUUAAGACUGUCUCCAACAGCUCAUGCAAAGGGAGACCUAAACCUAAAAUAGGUAGUGCACAGUGUAAAUAGGUGAUGAAAACUGGCUCUAACAGACAGGGACGAAGCCAGAAAAAAAAUUUAGGAGGGGCUGAACAAAAGUUAUAUAUCAACUUAGCUCUACUAUUACUCUUCGUAAAUAUAGAUUAACGAUGAAAUUCACAAAAUAUAUCUAAAAAAUAAAGUGUUCAGUCCACCCUACCUUAUAAAUUUGUGUCUAAAAUUAGAAGAAUAGCACUAAAAAUUCCACUGGGCCAGCAGCGGUAGGAGGGGCUGGAGCCCCCCUAGCCCCCCUGCUGGCUUCGUCGCUGCCAACAGAAGACUCAAAGCAAGUAGUCAUUUUGGGUGGAGGCCAACAACAACGCAAAUUUGCAUCGUCUUUCUGCAAGACGCAAAGUCUUCGACGCCCGUAGUGGUGGGGUCGAGGUGGAGCAGUGGUGGGUGCAAGGUGGGAACACAGCGGGAGCUCACCGGUGACAGAGCCUGAAGACGACGGUGAGGCGGGACUGACGACAGCGAGGCAGCAAGGGAGGCGCCGCCGCCAUGGGAGCACCUCCGGAGCCGCACGGCUUGGCUGCCUCGUCGGGAAGGAAGGAGGCCACGCAGGGGAGGAAGCUCGCCGACGAGGAGGGGGGGCAACAAAGACGGCGAGGUGGGGAGGGAGGCGAGCGGCGCCAUGGGAGCACCUCUGGAGCCGCCGGCUUGGCUGCCUCCCCGGAUCUGGGCUGGGAGGAAACGCUUGAGGGAGGGAGGGAGGGGAGGGAGGGAAGAAGAGAGGAGGCCGUGCAGGGGAGGGCGCUCACCGGCAAGGGAGCCGACGACGACGGUGAUGUGGGCCCAAGACAACAACGGGGGCGAGACGGAGUUCACCAGGAAGCUGGGGUCGUUGUUGGAGAAGCACGGUUUUAGGUCUGUGACCCAUCUGGUGCAGGGAACCCAAAUCGUAGAAUGGGUCACCGAUUUAGCUAUCGGUUGUUGGAGACAGCCUUAU
RNAcentral lists this long non-coding RNA (3643 nucleotides) under Sorghum bicolor (sorghum). RNAcentral describes it as "long non-coding RNA (SBIC_LNC003988)". The record is from RNAcentral. Lineage: Eukaryota; Viridiplantae; Streptophyta; Magnoliopsida; Poales; Poaceae.